RNAcentral lists this ribosomal RNA (473 nucleotides) under uncultured bacterium. RNAcentral's name for it is "bacterial SSU rRNA". It matches the Rfam family "Bacterial small subunit ribosomal RNA", at positions 37 to 507 of the family's 1533-position model. The record is from RNAcentral.
UGGCGGCGUGCCUAACACAUGCAAGUCGAACGAAGCUCCCCGAUACAAGGCUUCGGCCAAGUUGAAGGGAUGACUUAGUGGCGGACGGGUGAGUAACGCGUGAGGAACCUGCCUUCAGUGGGGGACAACAGUUGGAAACGACUGCUAAUACCGCAUAAUGUUUCUGGACCGCAUGAUCUGGAAACCAAAGCUUUAUGUGCUGAAAGAUGGCCUCGCGUCUGAUUAGAUAGUUGGUGAGGUAACGGCCCACCAAGUCUACGAUCAGUAGCCGGACUGAGAGGUUGAACGGCCACAUUGGGACUGAGAUACGGCCCAGACUCCUACGGGAGGCAGCAGUGGGGAAUAUUGGGCAAUGGGCGCAAGCCUGACCCAGCAACGCCGCGUGAAGGAAGAAGGCUUUCGGGUUGUAAACUUCUUUUGUCAGGGACGAGUAGAAGACGGUACCUGACGAAUAAGCCACGGCUAACUACGUG